GGGGGCGACUGGUUUCGACAUAUAUGUUCUGAGCUGGGAAGCAUGCGGUGGUCUCCUCGCCACCUUAAACAGGGGUACCGUCAAAUUAAUUGACAACAAAAGCUAUGCACUCGCUGCUUGAUUAAGCAACGACGUCAACUCGGGGUAGUUCCCCGCCCCCGACGCGACGCCAUUUAGGGGAAUGCUCCGCUGCAGGUAGUCGGUAUGGCAGCGGCCAAGACUGAACCGGCUGGCCGUGCGCCCUUCUGUCACACUGGGGGCCAUCGGUAAGACGCACAGUCUGACUGAGCAUGGAGAUGCCUGGUAAGGGGGAUAUAUGGACCGGAGUUCGAUUCUCCGCGCCUCCACCA
This 350-nucleotide transfer-messenger RNA is filed under the name Coriobacteriales. RNAcentral's name for it is "WRGR01 sp009787085 Standard tmRNA". It matches the Rfam family "transfer-messenger RNA". From Rfam's summary of the family: Bacterial tmRNA, also known as 10Sa RNA or SsrA, is named for its dual tRNA and mRNA-like properties. Lineage: Bacteria; Bacillati; Actinomycetota; Coriobacteriia. RNAcentral also lists the same sequence under 1 other name. The record is from RNAcentral.